GUGAAUCAUCGAAUCUUUGAACGCACAUUGCGCCCGCCAGUACUCUGGCGGGCAUGCCUGUUCGAGCGUCAUUUCAACCCUCAAGCUCUGCUUGGUGUUGGGGAUCGGCGUAGCGCCCUCGGGCGUCGCCGUCCCCUAAAUCUAGUGGCGGUCCCGCUGUAGCCUCCUCUGCGUAGUAGUUUUCUCCUCGCACUGGAAUCUCGGCGGUGCCCUGCCGUAAAACCCCCAACUUACCGAAAUGUUGACCUCGAAUCAGGUAGGAAUACCCGCUGAACUUAAGCAUAUCAAUAAGCGGAGGA
RNAcentral lists this unclassified non-coding RNA (299 nucleotides) under Ascomycota sp. Its description in RNAcentral is "partial contains 5.8S ribosomal RNA, internal transcribed spacer 2, and large subunit ribosomal RNA". The stretch from base 1 to 71 matches the Rfam family "5.8S ribosomal RNA", at positions 84 to 154 of the family's 154-position model. Lineage: Eukaryota; Fungi; Ascomycota. The record is from RNAcentral.